This is a long non-coding RNA of Chiroxiphia lanceolata (lance-tailed manakin), 1890 nucleotides long. RefSeq lists it as uncharacterized. The record is from RefSeq and is a predicted model, not a curated record. Lineage: Eukaryota; Metazoa; Chordata; Aves; Passeriformes; Pipridae. The transcript has 3 exons.
ACACGUUCUGAGUGCUACAGUCCACAUACCUCUCUGGGGUGCUACUUGAAUCUUACAACCUGGGGCAACUAGAAUCCGCUCCGUGAAGAAAAUAACCGGGACUGAGGCUGUUACUUUUAUCCACAGCUUUAUUAGCUUAGCAUGGGUGGCAGAGCAGGAGGAGAGGCUCUCCUCUUCCCUCUUGGGAUCAGGUCACCCCUCUCCCACAGAUAUCUGCUUGCUCUGGGAAUCCACUGCACUCCUCAGCUCCACUGACUGACUGUUGCGUUCAGAUUCUCAAUCAGUUCAGAGACCCUCAGCAUAUGCGUUUAUACUACUUCUGUUGCUUGUUUUGCCUGCUUUGUGACCCUCCCAUCACCGUCCAAGCCACGUAGGUCAUGGGUACUUUUCCAUGUUACUUGCGGUCACUUGCGUGUACUGUCUCUGCCAGAUGGUGACUUCUCAGUUCACAGUGUUCAGGCCAGCAACCUCCACAGCAACCUCCCAGUACCGCAUUCACUGCCAUGUCACACUGAUCUCCUGUCUCUUUUUUACUUGCAGUUGUUCAGCCAACACUGCCUUUAUUAAAAGUCUCGUUUCUCCUACAGUACACUUCACCUCGGUAAGAAUCUUGCUAACUUAACUGUUUGAAGUGAGGUAAAUUUUUCUUAAUUCAUUCCUUCUCUCUAAUGAUCACUGUCAUACAGAAACAGAUCCUAUUUAUAUUUUCCCUUGCAAAAUAACAUUUCAGUGACAUGUACUUGGUGACUGAUGCUGGACCAAACGUCUGGAUUUGAUAUAGAUUCACGCUGUAAUGAACUACUGAAGCAGACAACAACAGGCAAACAGGUUCUUAGUUAUCCAUAUGUAGAACUACUUAAAGGGCUAAUCCUCAAAUAAAUAUGCUAGCAUCAGUAAGAAAUACUGAAACACUGUUAAAAUUGCUCAAAUCCCAAGGCACCUUUUAAGUUCAUAUAGAGCACUGAAACUGUAAGUUAAGAAAAUUAUAUGCUCAGGGAAAAAAAGAAAUCCACUAUUCAUUUCCCUGUCACAGAUCUUCUGGAUUUAAGGAAGGGUCACAGACCAUGUCACUGAAGGAAGGCAGAGAACAGGAAGCAGAGCAUGGUGAAGGGUUUUUUUCAGGGAUCCCAGUUCAGUCCUAUGCGGGGCAUCCUGAAUUAACAUCCUGAGUGAUGUUUGGCUGCUGGCCAUAGAAAGAAUAAAAUAAAUCAAUAACUUGCAGAUAACAACUCACCAACUAAGACAGAUUCAAGUCACUUUCAAGUAGUGAACAGUACCACCACAAAUUAAAUGGUUUGUUUUUGUUUUUUUUUUGUCAGGCCUUACUCAUCUUUCAUAUCAUGCAUGAGGUAAAGACCAAUACUGAAGAAAUACCUAAAAUUAGGCCAUCCCGUGUCCUGGUCCCUGGAUAUCUAUCUGUAAUCUCGUGUACAUUAGAUUUAAAAGCCAAAGUAAAUGUGGGGCAGAAGCAAAGCUACUGAAAUUAGUUCUGCAUGUCCAGAAUAUCCCCUUUUCUUGCCAUGCUUCUACUCCAUAUUUCUUAAGACUGCAGCUUGUGGUCUUGAUUAAGGUAAGGCCUAAGAAAUUCUGAUUAAGAUACAGACUCUUGAUGUUAAGAGGUCUCUGGUACACAGUUGGGUCUUGUUCUUGUUGGCACCUUUCCCCCUUAUCACUGUAAGAUUCCUCCCACUGUUUUUCCAUCAUCUUUCUCCCACUGUUACUUCUGCAGUCAAUUCCCUUCUUCCAACGUUUAGGUCUUCCCAUUCCUUCAUAUUAGCUUCAUGACUGCUUUUAGUGCAGCGGGAGGUUUGCUCAUGUGGGUAGUACCUGGCAUUUUUAGGAGGGCUAUAUGAGAGGUACUUAGAUUUAUAUGUUGAGUUGCAAAGUAGU